This 546-nucleotide ribosomal RNA is filed under the name uncultured Glomeromycotina. RNAcentral's name for it is "SSU rRNA". It matches the Rfam family "Eukaryotic small subunit ribosomal RNA", at positions 550 to 1098 of the family's 1831-position model. The record is from RNAcentral. Lineage: Eukaryota; Fungi; Glomeromycota.
GGAGGGCAAGUCUGGUGCCAGCAGCCGCGGUAAUUCCAGCUCCAAUAGCGUAUAUUAAAGUUGCUGCAGUUAAAAAGCUCGUAGUUGAAUUUCGGGACCAUCAUGUCGGUCGUGCCUCGGUACGUACUGGUAUUGUUGGUUUCUCCCUUCUGACGAACCAUGAUGUCAUUUGUUUGGUGUUGUGGGGAAUCAGGACUGUUACUUUGAAAAAAUUAGAGUGUUUAAGGCAGGCUCACGCUUGAAUACAUUAGCAUGGAAUAAUGAAAUAGGACGUUUGAUUCUAUUUUGUUGGUUUCUAGGAUCGACGUAAUGAUUAAUAGGGAUAGUUGGGGGCAUUAGUAUUCAAUUGUCAGAGGUGAAAUUCUUGGAUUUAUUGAAGACUAACUACUGCGAAAGCAUUUGCCAAGGAUGUUUUCAUUAAUCAAGAACGAAAGUUAGGGGAUCGAAGACGAUCAGAUACCGUCGUAGUCUUAACCAUAAACUAUGCCGACUAGGGAUCGGAUGAUGUUAAUUUUUUAAUGACUCAUUCGGCGCCUUACGGGAAAC